AUUGAACGCUGGCGGCAUGCUUUACACAUGCAAGUCGAACGGUAACAGGUUAAGCUGACGAGUGGCGAACGGGUGAGUAAUGCAUCGGAACGUGCCCGAUCGUGGGGGAUAACGCAGCGAAAGCUGCGCUAAUACCGCAUACGAUCUGAGGAUGAAAGCGGGGGACCGUAAGGCCUCGCGCGAUCGGAGCGGCCGAUGUCAGAUUAGGUAGUUGGUGGGGUAAAGGCUCACCAAGCCAACGAUCUGUAGCUGGGAUGAGAGGACGACCAGCCACACUGGGACUGAGACACGGCCCAGACUCCUACGGGAGGCAGCAGUGGGGAAUUUUGGACAAUGGGCGAAAGCCUGAUCCAGCAAUGCCGCGUGCAGGAAGAAGGCCUUCGGGUUGUAAACUGCUUUUGUACGGAGCGAAAAGGUCUCCUCUAAUACAGGGGGCUCAUGACGGUACCGUAAGAAUAAGCACCGGCUAACUACGUGCCAGCCGCCGCCGUAA
RNAcentral lists this ribosomal RNA (493 nucleotides) under uncultured bacterium. RNAcentral's name for it is "partial 16S ribosomal RNA". It matches the Rfam family "Bacterial small subunit ribosomal RNA", at positions 29 to 523 of the family's 1533-position model. The record is from RNAcentral.